GGUCCAGUGGAACAACGGCAGUUCGUCACUUUCCGGUUAGUGGUUCAUCCUCAAACCAAAUUGUUCAUAGGUGUAGGUUGCAGGUUCGAGUCCUGCCUGGAUCG
Molecule: non-coding RNA, 104 nt
Organism: Sphaerobolus stellatus SS14
Lineage: Eukaryota; Fungi; Basidiomycota; Agaricomycetes; Geastrales; Sphaerobolaceae
Source: the annotation of a GenBank genome assembly